RNAcentral lists this ribosomal RNA (667 nucleotides) under Morganella morganii. RNAcentral's name for it is "partial 23S ribosomal RNA". It matches the Rfam family "Bacterial large subunit ribosomal RNA", at positions 649 to 1314 of the family's 2925-position model. The record is from RNAcentral. Lineage: Bacteria; Pseudomonadati; Pseudomonadota; Gammaproteobacteria; Enterobacterales; Morganellaceae.
ACCGGAUAGGGGAGCCGCAGGGAAACCGAGUCUUAACUGGGCGAAUUAGUUGCAGGGUAUAGACCCGAAACCCGGUGAUCUAGCCAUGGGCAGGUUGAAGGUUGGGUAACACUAACUGGAGGACCGAACCGACUAAUGUUGAAAAAUUAGCGGAUGACUUGUGGCUGGGGGUGAAAGGCCAAUCAAACCGGGAGAUAGCUGGUUCUCCCCGAAAGCUAUUUAGGUAGCGCCUCGUGAAUUCAUCUCCGGGGGUAGAGCACUGUUUCGGCUAGGGGGUCAUCCCGACUUACCAACCCGAUGCAAACUGCGAAUACCGGAGAAUGUUAUCACGGGAGACACACGGCGGGUGCUAACGUUCGUCGUGAAGAGGGAAACAACCCAGACCGCCGGCUAAGGUCCCAAAGUCAUAAUUAAGUGGGAAACGAAGUGGGAAGGCUCAGACAGCCAGGAUGUUGGCUUAGAAGCAGCCAUCAUUUAAAGAAAGCGUAAUAGCUCACUGGUCGAGUCGGCCUGCGCGGAAGAUGUAACGGGGCUAAAUUAUGCACCGAAGCCGCGGCAGCGAUAUGUAAAUAUUGUUGGGUAGGGGAGCGUUCUGUAAGCCUGUGAAGGUGUGCUGUGAGGCAUGCUGGAGGUAUCAGAAGUGCGAAUGCUGACAUAAGUAACGAUA